AGGGUUUGAUCAUGGCUCAGAAUCAACGCUGGCGGCGUGCCUCAGACAUGCAAGUCGAAUGCGAAAGUUCCCUUCGGGGAGCAAGUAGAGUGGCGCACGGGUGAGUAACACGUAGGUAAUCUACCUUUGGAUGGGGAAUAACAACCGGAAACGGUUGCUAAUACCGCAUAAUGCAGCGGCACCUAAUGGUGACAGUUGUUAAAGCGGGGGAUCGAAAGACCUCGCGUCUAAAGAGGAGCCUGCGGCGGAUUAGCUAGUUGGUAAGGUAACGGCUUACCAAGGCUAUGAUCCGUAACCGGCCUGAGAGGGCGGUCGGUCACACUGACACUGACAUACGGGUCAGACUCCUACGGGAGGCAGCAGUCGGGAAUUUUGGGCAAUGGGCGAAAGCCUGACCCAGCAACGCCGCGUGAAGGAUGAAAUCCCUCGGGAUGUAAACUUCGCAAGAACAGGAAGAAUAAACCGGUGCCAACACCACCGGCGAUGACGGUACUGUUUGUAAGCUCCGGCUAACUCCGUGCCAGCAGCCGCGGUAAUACGGGGGGAGCAAGCGUUGUUCGGAUUUACUGGGCGUAAAGGGCGCGUAGGCGGCCACCGCAAGUCGGUUGUGAAAUCUCUGGGCUUAACCCAGAAAGGUCAACCGAUACUGCGGGGCUAGAGUGCAGAAGGGGCAACUGGAAUUCUCGGUGUAGCGGUGAAAUGCGUAGAUAUCGAGAGGAACACCUGCGGCGAAGGCGGGUUGCUGGGCUGACACUGACGCUGAAGCGCGAAAGCUAGGGGAGCGAACGGGAUUAGAUACCCCGGUAGUCCUAGCCUUAAACGAUGAAUGCUUGGUGUCUGGGGUUUUAUAGUCCCCGGGUGCCGUCGCUAACGCUUUAAGCAUUCCGCCUGGGGAGUACGGUCGCAAGA
This 909-nucleotide ribosomal RNA is filed under the name uncultured Acidobacteriota bacterium. RNAcentral's name for it is "bacterial SSU rRNA". It matches the Rfam family "Bacterial small subunit ribosomal RNA", at positions 8 to 893 of the family's 1533-position model. Lineage: Bacteria; Pseudomonadati; Acidobacteriota. The record is from RNAcentral.